This 379-nucleotide unclassified non-coding RNA is filed under the name uncultured Gammaproteobacteria bacterium. Its description in RNAcentral is "contains 16S-23S intergenic spacer region". Lineage: Bacteria; Pseudomonadati; Pseudomonadota; Gammaproteobacteria. The record is from RNAcentral.
UCCGUUUUGUCAACGGCAGUCCCCCUAGAGUGCCCGGCUAAAACCGCUGGCAACUAAGGAUAAGGGUUGCGCUCGUUGCGGGACUUAACCCAACAUCUCACGACACGAGCUGACGACAGCCAUGCAGCACCUGUCACUGGGCUCCCGAAGGCACUCCCACCUCUCGGCAGGAUCCCCAGGAUGUCAAGGCCAGGUAAGGUUCUUCGCGUUGCAUCGAAUUAAACCACAUGCUCCACCGCUUGUGCGGGCCCCCGUCAAUUCAUUUGAGUUUCAACCUUGCGGCCGUACUCCCCAGGCGGAGAACUUAGCGCGUUAGCUCCAACACUGAAGGGCUUAAUCCCUCCAACGUCUAGUUCUCAUCGUUUAGGGCGUGGACUAC